GCUUACGGCCAUACCACCCUGAACGGGCCCGAUCUCGUCUGAUCUCGGAAGCCAAGCAGGGUCGGGCCUGGUCAGUACUUGGACGGGAGACCGCCUGGGAAACCAGGUGCUGUAAGCU
RNAcentral lists this ribosomal RNA (118 nucleotides) under Oreochromis niloticus (Nile tilapia). Lineage: Eukaryota; Metazoa; Chordata; Actinopteri; Cichliformes; Cichlidae. The record is from RNAcentral.